UUCUGUUAACAGUUCGGCUACAUUUCCAUUUAGAGUAUUUCUUUCAGGUAUUUUUCUAUCCAUAUUUUUCAAAAUGAUUAAACUUAAUCCUCUAUAACAAUUUACUGCUUUGUUAUUUUCCCUUAGUAUUACUGCUGUUACCAUUUACUUAACCAUUUCUUCCCUGUUUAACGGUACUGUUCCACUGUUCACAGAAACUGCAAGAUGGAAAUCUUUGUACAUAAAUCUUCAUCUGGAUAUACGACUACUUCCUUGAAACAGAAUAUUAGGAGUGACAUUCCUCGGUCAAAAGACUGGACCGAUUCAUUCUCCUCCCAUAAACGCCAAGAUGGCUCACAUUCCUCACCCCUGAUUUCCAGGAUAAGAGGGUAGAGUUCGGUCCUGAUACAGGAAAGUUUCUACUGCGAAUGAGGAUUUGUGAAUGACUGCACACAAAGCCGGAUCUGGGUCACUCACAGUCAGAAGCUGUCACACUGCCUGCCUCCCAAACAUCUAGAAGAGCAAGAUGACAAGAAUUCCUGCCAAUAAAUCCCUCCCAAGAUCCCUGUCUGGUCAGCAAAAGCAUGGGAGCAAGGGGUCUGACAAAGGAAAGAAUUUGGACUCCACUUUCCAAGAGAGAUCUUUCUGGAUAAGGCAAUGGAGGAUACUGAUUAAGAGCACAAACUCAGGGGAUGGUGGGGAGGGGGACGCACAAACUCUGGAGGUAGUGCCGAGAUUCGAACAGGGGCUCUCCACAGACUAGUUGUGGGACCUUAGGCUGCUUACCUAACCUUUGUGUGCCAUCUGCAAAACAGAAGUCAUAACUAUACCCUCCUCGUGGUGUUGCUAUCAGGUUUGAAGUAAAUGAGUUAAUAGCAAUGAAGCACUUAGAACAAUGCUCGUCCCAAGGUAAGCACUAUAGACACAAGUGCCUGUAAAAUAAACAGGUAGUUCAAGUUCUGUGAAAACGACUGAUCGUGCAAAGGCACAAAAUGAAGUCCUGGUACCUCAACCACUUUUUAAGUGUGUCCAUUCCUCAGCACACACAUGCAUAACCGCAAAUUAAAUUAUUCAUAGCUAAAAAGUCAGUAAGACCGUACUGCAGUGAUGCCCUGAAAAACGUGCUUAACUGAUUUGUUAAUUACGAAUGCAUAUUCUUUUAACAAAGAAAACAGAUUACUCAUGGAUGUCUCUAUUUAGUACUUAAAAUAUUACUUGCUAGCUUCACACUUGUUUACAUUUUUCUAAUUAGUCAAUUCCAGCUUCUGGCAAAACAGAGUACAGGAUAAAAGCUACAUGACUUUUCCCUACAAUGGCAACUAUAUACAGAAAGGACAAAAGAGAGACCUUAGGCCAAAUUUCCUAAUACUCAAAUGCUUUCCAUUUAAUAAUACGUGUUCAAUACUA
This is a long non-coding RNA of Felis catus (domestic cat), 1386 nucleotides long. RefSeq lists it as uncharacterized. The record is from RefSeq and is a predicted model, not a curated record. The transcript is spliced from 2 exons. Lineage: Eukaryota; Metazoa; Chordata; Mammalia; Carnivora; Felidae.